RNAcentral lists this unclassified non-coding RNA (250 nucleotides) under plant metagenome. RNAcentral describes it as "partial contains small subunit ribosomal RNA, internal transcribed spacer 1, and 5.8S ribosomal RNA". The record is from RNAcentral.
GUAGGUGAACCUGCGGAAGGAUCAUUACAGAGAUAGGGUGCCGCCCCUCGCGCGGCGCGCCCCGACCUCCAACCCUUUGCUUACCCGACCUCUUGUUGCUUCGGCAGGCCCGUCCCCCUCACAGGGGACCGCCGGGGGUGCCUCACCGCCCCCUGGCCCGCCGCCUGCCGACGGCCCCAACCUAAAAAACUCUUGUUUAUAAAACGUGUCGUCUGAGUUUGUUAUAAACCAAUAACUAAAAACUUUCAAC